This 275-nucleotide ribosomal RNA is filed under the name uncultured prokaryote. Its description in RNAcentral is "partial 16S ribosomal RNA". It matches the Rfam family "Bacterial small subunit ribosomal RNA", at positions 524 to 798 of the family's 1533-position model. The record is from RNAcentral.
UACGGAGGAUCCGAGCGUUAUCCGGAUUUAUUGGGUUUAAAGGGUGCGCAGGCGGGAGAUUAAGUCGGCGGUGAAAUUUUGCAGCUCAACUGUAAAAGUGCCUUCGAAACUGGUUUCCUUGAGUGUAGAUGAAGUAGGCGGAAUUUGUGGUGUAGCGGUGAAAUGCUUAGAUAUCACGAGGAACUCCGAUUGCGCAGGCAGCUUACUAAACCACUACUGACGCUCAGGCACGAAGGCGUGGGGAUCAAACAGGAUUAGAUAUCCCGGUAGUCCCU